Molecule: ribosomal RNA, 95 nt
Filed under: Candidatus Aenigmatarchaeota archaeon
Lineage: Archaea; Nanobdellati; Candidatus Aenigmatarchaeota
Source: RNAcentral
GUCCCACCCGUUCCCAUACCGAACACGGAAGUUAAGCAGCCCAGCGAUCUGGUAAGUACUGCCUAACAGGUGGGAACACCAGGACGUUGCCAACC